This 71-nucleotide transfer RNA is filed under the name Accumulibacter sp. RNAcentral describes it as "tRNA-Ile". It matches the Rfam family "tRNA". From Rfam's summary of the family: Transfer RNA (tRNA) molecules are approximately 80 nucleotides in length. Lineage: Bacteria; Pseudomonadati; Pseudomonadota; Betaproteobacteria. The record is from RNAcentral.
UUGGAUAGCUCAUUGGUAGAGCAGUCGGCUCAUAACCGAUCGGUCGCAGGUUCGAAUCCUGCUCCAAACCA